Molecule: ribosomal RNA, 253 nt
Filed under: uncultured bacterium
Lineage: Bacteria
Description: partial 16S ribosomal RNA
Rfam family: Bacterial small subunit ribosomal RNA
Source: RNAcentral
UACGGGGGGUGCGAGCGUUGUCCGGAAUCACUGGGCGUAAAGGGCGCGUAGGUGGCGUCGUAAGUCUGUGGUGAAAGCCCGGAGUUCAACUCCGGGUCUGCCGCGGAUACUGCGAGGCUUGAGUGCUGUAGAGGGGGGUAGAAUGCCGGGUGUAGCGGCGGAAUGCGUAGAGAUCCGGCAGAAGACCGGUGGCGAAGGCGGCCCCCUGGGCAGUAACUGACACUGAGGCGCGACAGCGUGGGGAGCAAACAGG